This 211-nucleotide ribosomal RNA is filed under the name Clostridioides difficile. Its description in RNAcentral is "partial 23S ribosomal RNA". It matches the Rfam family "Bacterial large subunit ribosomal RNA", at positions 2341 to 2551 of the family's 2925-position model. Lineage: Bacteria; Bacillati; Bacillota; Clostridia; Peptostreptococcales; Peptostreptococcaceae. The record is from RNAcentral.
UACGUAGAGUGUAAAGGCAAAAGAGAGCUUGAUUGCAAGACAUACAGGUCGAGCAAGGAUGAAAAUCGGGCUUAGUGAUCCGGUGGUUCUGCGUGGAAGGGCCAUCGCUCAACGGAUAAAAGCUACCCUGGGGAUAACAGGAUUAUCUCCCCCAAGAGUCCACAUCGACGGGGAGGUUUGGCACCUCGAUGUCGGCUCAUCACAUCCUGGG